GCCUGCUUAGCAUAGUGGCUAAUGCGUUGCACUUGUAUCCAGCAAUGGAGUCUAAGAGAUGCAAAGAUCACAGGUUCGAUUCCUGUAGUAGGCA
Molecule: non-coding RNA, 94 nt
Organism: Podospora fimiseda
Lineage: Eukaryota; Fungi; Ascomycota; Sordariomycetes; Sordariales; Podosporaceae
Source: the annotation of a GenBank genome assembly